Non-coding RNA from Saxophila tyrrhenica, 71 nucleotides. The record is from the annotation of a RefSeq genome assembly. NCBI's taxonomy places the organism in Eukaryota, Fungi, Ascomycota, Dothideomycetes, Mycosphaerellales, Extremaceae.
GCCUUUAUAGCUCAACGGUAGAGCGAGGUACUGUUAAUACCUUGAUGAAUGUUCGAUUCAUUCUAAGGGCU